GCUGGUUGGUAGGGUAACGGCCUACCAAGGCUAUGACGGGUAGGGGACCUGAGAGGGUGGCCCCCCACAAUGGAACUGAAACACGGUCCAUACACCUACGGGUGGCAGCAGUAGGGAAUAUUAGAAAUGGACGAAAGUCUGAUCUAGCAACACCGCGUGUGCGAAGAAGGCCUUCGGGUCGUAAAGCACUUUUUGGAAGGAAUAGGAAGGAAUGUACUUCCAGAAUAAGUCUCGGCUAACUACGUGCCAGCAGCCGCGGUAACACGUAGGAGGCGAACGUUAU
This 283-nucleotide ribosomal RNA is filed under the name uncultured bacterium. RNAcentral's name for it is "partial 16S ribosomal RNA". It matches the Rfam family "Bacterial small subunit ribosomal RNA", at positions 244 to 544 of the family's 1533-position model. The record is from RNAcentral.